Molecule: long non-coding RNA, 979 nt
Organism: Triticum dicoccoides
Lineage: Eukaryota; Viridiplantae; Streptophyta; Magnoliopsida; Poales; Poaceae
Exons: 2
Source: RefSeq, a predicted model, not a curated record
UUCUUUUCCCGAAGGGAGCGAGGAGCUCUGGUCUGCCGCUAGCUGCUGCGCGUCCCCAGCCACCCCAAGCACCUUCUCCAGGCGCCGUCGCCGCUUGCCACCAGAUUCAGGCAAUCCCGGCCAUGCCGCCGCCCCGUGCGCAGUACGCCAACACCAGCCGCCGCAGCCGCGCUGCACCACCAACCCGCGGCACACACCAUUCCUCGACCUUUCCCGCUUCUACAGGCAGUCUGCCGCGCGCGGUGCUCCUCCAGGUUACUCCCUGGCUUCCCCACUUGCGUCACAGGCCACAACCGCUCCUCCCUCCUGCAUCCUGCCAUGCGACACUCUACGGCGGGCUUCCUCUCCUCAUGGCACUCCGACCACCAGAUCCGCGCGAGCUCACCCUGCAGCCAUGGUUUCGGGCGUUGACUCACGCCACUGUGCCUUCCCGGCCCCAUCGAAGGCAGGCGCCGCUGCCGUGGGGAGGUGGAUGGAGCGCACCCUUCUUUAGGCCCGUGGUGGGUGGCCUACUCCCUCUCCGGCGGCAUAGCCCUGCCCACCCCGGCUCCAGCUCCGGUGACACCUUCCCCAUGCCGUCGUUCUAGUGGAGGCGCAUAAGCUUGUUCUAGUGAUGGAUCUUGUCCUCGAGCAGUUCAUGGUGUGGAUCUCCAGCGGCUAGCUUUUUGGGUUUCUUCUACUCCUCCGACCCAGCCUUUGUAGUUGGAAAUUAUUUGGGGGUUAUCUGUAGCUAGCAGUUUGCUUGAACUGAAUAAGGAGUUGACUGAGCCGGCCAUUUCAGUUACCUCAAACCGAAAAAGGUGUGUUACUUGUCUAUUUGGAUACUUGGGUAGCCACUGAAUUUUAGUGUUGAGGUCUAAUAUGCGUCAGGGCAUCUAAACUGCAGCAUUUACUGACGUGAUGUGUAUAGCUUACAAGGAUACAUGUCUAUGUACUUGCAUGUUUAAUUCUUACUUGCAAAUAAUGUUGUGUCAAGAGA